This 235-nucleotide long non-coding RNA is filed under the name Rattus norvegicus (Norway rat). RNAcentral describes it as "long non-coding RNA NONRATT000497". The record is from RNAcentral. Lineage: Eukaryota; Metazoa; Chordata; Mammalia; Rodentia; Muridae.
GACGACAGAGAUGGAAGUUUCUCCAAAGACCCUUCCUAAACACGUCCACUUCCCCCGCUGUCUCUGGAUUUUUCUGUGUGGCUGUGGCUGUCUUGGAUCUCCCUUCAUAGACGAGGCUGGACUUGAACUCACAGAGAUCCUCCUGCCUCGGGCCCCUGAGUGCUGGGAUUAAAGGCGUGUGCCACCACCUCUCAGGGCCCCAUUCUUACUUUUAUUAAAAAUAUUUAUUCAUUUA